This 73-nucleotide transfer RNA is filed under the name Felis catus (domestic cat). It matches the Rfam family "tRNA". Rfam says of the family: Transfer RNA (tRNA) molecules are approximately 80 nucleotides in length. The record is from Rfam by way of RNAcentral. Lineage: Eukaryota; Metazoa; Chordata; Mammalia; Carnivora; Felidae.
GCCUGGGUGGCUCAGUGGGUGGAGCAUACAACUCUUGAUCUUGGGGCUGUGGGUUUUAGCCCCACUUUGGGUA